This 483-nucleotide ribosomal RNA is filed under the name uncultured bacterium. RNAcentral's name for it is "partial 16S ribosomal RNA". It matches the Rfam family "Bacterial small subunit ribosomal RNA", at positions 28 to 507 of the family's 1533-position model. The record is from RNAcentral.
GACGAACGCUGGCGGCGUGCUUAACACAUGCAAGUCGAACGCUGAAGCUCAGCUUUUGUUGGGUGGAUGAGUGGCGCACGGGUAAGUAACACGUGUGUAACCUGCCCCCUUCUUUGGGAUAACGCCCGGAAACGGGUGCUAAUACUGGAUAUUCACUGGUCUUCGCAUGGGGGCUGGUGGAAAGGGUUUUUCUGGUGGGGGAUGGGCUCGCGGCCUAUCAGCUUGUUGGUGGGGUGAUGGCCUACCAAGGCUUUGACGGGUAGCCGGCCUGAGAGGGUGACCGGUCACAUUGGGACUGAGAUACGGCCCAGACUCCUACGGGAGGCAGCAGUGGGGAAUAUUGCACAAUGGGCGCAAGCCUGAUGCAGCGACGCCGCGUGAGGGAUGGAGGCCUUCGGGUUGUGAACCUCUUUCGCUCAUGGUCAAGCCGCAACAAUGGUUGUGGUGAGGGUAGUGGGUAAAGAAGCGCCGGCUAACUACGUG